GAUGAAGAACGCAGCGAAAUGCGAUACUUGGUGUGAAUUGCAGAAUCCCGUGAAUCAUCGAGUCUUUGAACGCAAGUUGCGCCCGAAGCCAUUAGGCCGAGGGCACGCCUGCCUGGGCGUCACACGUCGUUGCCCCCCCCAUCUACUCCUUCGGGAUUGCGGGGGGCGGAUGAUGGCCUCCCGUGCGCCUCGCCGCGCGGUUGGCAUAAAUGCCAAGUCCUCGGCGACGCACGCCACGACAAUCGGUGGUUGCGAAACCUCGGUUGCCCGUCGUGUGCGGUCGUCGCGCAUCGAGGGCUCGAAAAAAUUGCCGAGUUCCGGCUCGGCUUUCAACGCGACCCCAGGUCAGGCGGGGUUACCCGCUGAAUUUAAGCAUAUCAAUAAGCGGAGGA
RNAcentral lists this unclassified non-coding RNA (392 nucleotides) under soil metagenome. RNAcentral's name for it is "partial contains 5.8S ribosomal RNA, internal transcribed spacer 2, and large subunit ribosomal RNA". The stretch from base 1 to 122 matches the Rfam family "5.8S ribosomal RNA", at positions 35 to 154 of the family's 154-position model. The record is from RNAcentral.